This is a long non-coding RNA of Microplitis demolitor, 444 nucleotides long. RefSeq lists it as uncharacterized. NCBI's taxonomy places the organism in Eukaryota, Metazoa, Arthropoda, Insecta, Hymenoptera, Braconidae. The record is from RefSeq and is a predicted model, not a curated record. The transcript has 4 exons.
CAUGAGACCAGUAAUAAAGUGUCUUGUUGCUAAUACUUGGCUUAUUAAUAAUUAUCACAUUAUAUUUUUUUUGGAUGACAAAUAUAUUUGUGUUUGUCAUUAGAAGUGACGGUAAAAAAAAGUGACUCGCAUAUUUCUCAGUAUAAAUUCGUUAAAGUGUCGCAAAAAAUGGAUUUUAAGCUUUUAAAAAUUUUUCUGUUUGCAUUUGGACUAAUGGCAGCAAUAGUUUUGACAGACAGUAACGUAAUUUAUAAAACGUGUGCUUUACCAAAUAAAAAGUGCAAUGUAAAUAACUACUGUUGCGGGGCUUACAAGUGUAAACCACUCUAUAGAAGCACAGAAACAAGAUGCUCCAAAUAAAUGGCAGUUUAUUUUUUAAGAAACUCAAAAUAUAUGAAACUGUUUGUUAUAAUUUUCGCUGCAAUAAAAAAAAAUUAAAAAGAG